This 291-nucleotide long non-coding RNA is filed under the name Actinidia chinensis (golden kiwifruit). RNAcentral describes it as "long non-coding RNA (ACHI_LNC008890)". The record is from RNAcentral. Lineage: Eukaryota; Viridiplantae; Streptophyta; Magnoliopsida; Ericales; Actinidiaceae.
CUCAUUGUAUGCAGUAGUACUGCAUUGUUCUCUUUUGCGCCAGCCUUGCACCGAGCUUGCUUUUUCUUUGGUAGUGCAACAAUCCUUUCCCUAUUCUCUCCAAUGCAGGAAACAAAACCCUAAUCUUUGUCUGCUUUGUUGAAAAACCCAGGCCAGUGUCAGAGCAAAAAACCCAUAUCUUUACUUCAUCAAUCUCCAUCACGCUACUCUCUCUAUCUCAAACAAUUCCCACAUUCCGAAUCGAAGACCCAUCUCACUCUAUUUGGCAGCUUGAAAUAUAUAAAAUCAGGC